AUCCUGUUUAAGGUGUACUAUUGUAGAAAUACCACAAAAAUACAAAUAUAUCUUUAAUAUGCUUCUAGUUGGUCUUAACUUGACCGUUGGAAUGAGAUUAGCCAAUUCCUCCCAGGUUUGAAUUGGCCGAACUCACUUGCCAAUUAUCAUUUGACAUGCAAUCUAAAGGGAGAAAAUUCUCAUAGUUGACGUGAAUAUCCAUAGCCAUUUUUGAAAUAAAUGUAUAACUGACGAAAAGGACAAUCCCAAUUUAGUUUUUCAAAAUGAAUGUUUCAAAUUUCAUGAUUUCUUCUUGAAAGAUUUAAAUAAGCAUUGAGGGAACGAGAAGCUGCUGUUACAUAGACAUAGAAUCCAUAUCUCUUUCUUUCAGUAGCCAUUUCAAAUCCACUCAGUCAAGGAUCCUAAAUUUCACUACAUCUGCCCUGAAGCUAACAUAUUCAUAUUAAACGCAUACACAGUUAUUAAAUGCAGUCAUUAUUAUGAAGAAGCAUUUGAAAUUUAAAUUACCUUUUCAAUGAAUGCAGCAAAAAAUGCAGAUCUCUUCAUGUCUAGCCCACAAACUCGUUUCUUUUCAAAUGGUAACAGAAAUGAUCCCAUAUUCCAAUCUUUCCACAUUAUUUAAUCCUCUCCUUACACUGCAUCCUGGUUUCAGCCGCCAAAAACAAAUUUCUUGACAAAUAAUGGAACACCUAUAAACUAUUUCAUUUAAUUAAGUUCAUAAGUUAUGUUAGUCUCAUCCAUAUGGCAAACAAAGCCUCUUUUAACUUCAUAUAAGAUAGCUUAUAGGAGCAAUUUAUGCGCUUCUUCCCAAAAUCAUUUUGAUUGCUAUAAGUAACUGUUACCUUAUUAUGAAUCCAUUCAAACAAAUAAUGCAUUCAGAAACAAACUGAGAAGCCAAGAUUUUAGAGUGGUUAACUGAACAAAUUUACCUACAUCCACUUUUGAGUGCACAAUAGGGAUCACUAG
Molecule: long non-coding RNA, 966 nt
Filed under: Olea europaea subsp. europaea
Lineage: Eukaryota; Viridiplantae; Streptophyta; Magnoliopsida; Lamiales; Oleaceae
Source: RNAcentral